ACAGAGCAAUGUUUAACUGGUUAAAGCCAUAUCCAGUGUUUGCUCAACAGCCGGAGGCAGGCUCAUGGAGACCAACAACCAAUCAGAAUGUUACAAAGGCUAGAUUUACAACUACAGACUUAGAUUAGGAGGAUUAAAAUCCAAACAAAGACAAAAACCUUCCUGGGUCACCAUCUCUGAUCAUCAGAGAGAAGCAGAGUCCUUCUGUGUCUCUGCUGUGAUUCAUGAAAAAGUCAUUUGGGGAAACUGAAGGCCUGAGGUUGAACAGCAGGGGGCGCUGUUGUUCAGUGUUAAGGUAUUUGCUGGAUGGAGAAAACAUGGGGCAGUGGUGAACCUUCCCAGGAAUGGCCGGCCUAGCAAAGUUACUCCAAGAGCACAUUGACAACCCAUCAAGGAAGUCACAAAGAACCCAGAACAACAUCUAAAGCACAGUAGGCCUCACUGUCUGAGUUAAGGUCAGAGGUCAUGAAUCAACAAUGCUUCGGGACCAAGACGACUUGCUGGAAUGGCCUAAUCAAAGCCCACACUAAAGUCUGAAUGACUUUAAACAGGCUGUUUAUGCAGAAAAACCCUAUUUAUGGCACAAGCAGCUAUCAGAUUAAUAAAAUAAAUCAUAAUUUCAAGGCUUAAAUCUGUGAGGGGGGCAAAUACUUUUCCUCAGCAUUGCAAAAGGAAAGUCUCGCAG
Long non-coding RNA from Girardinichthys multiradiatus, 685 nucleotides. RefSeq lists it as uncharacterized. The transcript has 3 exons. The record is from RefSeq and is a predicted model, not a curated record. NCBI's taxonomy places the organism in Eukaryota, Metazoa, Chordata, Actinopteri, Cyprinodontiformes, Goodeidae.